UCCGGCUUGCCGCCGGCAGUCCCUCCAGAGUGCCCAACUAAAUGAUGGCAACUGAAGGCAAGGGUUGCGCUCGUUGCGGGACUUAACCCAACAUCUCACGACACGAGCUGACGACAGCCAUGCAGCACCCCACCGUUUCCGGCGGGUUCCAGGGAUGUCAAGCCUCGGUAAGGUUCUUCGUGUACCAUCGAAUUAAACCACAUGAUCCACUGCUUGUGCGGCCCCCCGUCAAUUCCUUUGAGUUUUAAGCUUGCGCUCGUACUCCCCAGGCGGGAUGCUUAACGCGUUAGCUUCUCAGCCCAGAGGGUCGAUACUCCAAACUGAUAGCAUCCAUCGUUUACGGCGUGGACUAC
This 353-nucleotide unclassified non-coding RNA is filed under the name uncultured bacterium. RNAcentral describes it as "contains 16S-23S intergenic spacer region". The record is from RNAcentral.